AAGUCGUAACAAGGUUUCCGUAGGUGAGCCUGCGGAAGGAUCAUUAUUGAACUAAGUCGGAUUCGAUGCUGGCCCUUAACCCGGGCAUGUGCUCGUCCUUCAUUUUUCUAACCUUCUUUAUGUGCACAUUUGUAUGCCCCUGAGUAACGAGCGCCUCUCGCAGCAAUGCGGUUUGCUUGGGACUGACGGCCUGGUCGUCUUUCCUGCAAUGCUCUCUGGGGGCUACGUUUUUAUAUACAAGUCAGUUAUAGAAUGUCUUUUAAUGACUGUUGCCUAGCGCAUGGUCUUAAACAAUUACAACUUUCAGCAACGGAUCUCUUGGCUCUCCCAUCGAUGAAGAACGCAGCGAAAUGCGAUAAGUAAUGUGAAUUGCAGAAUUCAGUGAAUCAUCGAAUCUUUGAACGCACCUUGCGCCCUUUGGUAUUCCGAAGGGCAUGCCUGUUUGAGUGUCAUUAAAUUAUCAACCUUGCUCGCUUUUACCGGCUUGAGCUGAGGCUUGGACGUGGGGGGUUUUUGCUGGCUUCCUUCAGUGGAUGGUCUGCUCCCCUUAAAUUCAUUAGCGGGAUCUCUUGUGGACCGUCACUUGGUGUGAUAAUUAUCUAUGCCGUUUGACCUUGAAGCAAAUUUAUGGGACCCUGCUUAUAACCGUCUCUUACCGGGACAAUUUAAUAACAUCUUGACCUCAAAUCAGGUAGGACUACCCGCUGAACUUAAGCAUAUCAAUAAGCGGAGGAAAAGAAACUAACAAGGAUUCCCCUAGUAACUGCGAGUGAAGCGGGAAAAGCUCAAAUUUAAAAUCUGGCGGUCCUUGUGGCCGUCCGAGUUGUAAUUUAGAGAA
RNAcentral lists this unclassified non-coding RNA (838 nucleotides) under uncultured Mycena. RNAcentral's name for it is "sequence contains ITS1, 5.8S rRNA gene and ITS2". The stretch from base 299 to 452 matches the Rfam family "5.8S ribosomal RNA". Lineage: Eukaryota; Fungi; Basidiomycota; Agaricomycetes; Agaricales; Tricholomataceae. The record is from RNAcentral.